CUUUCUGAGAACCUGUGCUUUAAUGAGUAAACUCACACAGCUGCAACAAAUGCUGCCACCUCCUGGCAUCUUUUAAAAAGGCUGGAGUGCAGUGGCAUGAUCUCGGCUCACUGCAACCUCCGCCUCCCGGGUUCAAGUGAUUCUCCUGCCUCAGCCUCCCAAAUAGCUGUGAUUACAGGGAACCCGUUGUUGCUCAGACACCCGAUGUGGAAAUUUUUCUUCUCCCUCAGUUCAAAUGAGAUAAAGAUCCUCCUCUCCUCACAGUGAACAUGAGGUCACAGUGUCCAUGUAACUAACUCCUGGUUAAGAGGAUAUGGAUAGAAGGCACAUGUUCAACUUCUGGCUUCUGUCCUUGAAAAGUGUGAUGAUUCCAUCCUUUGCUGUCUUCCUUCCCGCUGACUGGAAUGUGGACUUGGUAGUGAGCUACCUUGGACUAUGUGGAUGAAGACAAAGAUAAAAGGAACCAAGGACUCUGAUGAUUCUGUAGAGAAGAGGAACCGUAGCUGCUCAAACGUUCAUGUGAAAGAAGAAUAAACUAUCAGAUUU
Molecule: long non-coding RNA, 546 nt
Filed under: Homo sapiens (human)
Lineage: Eukaryota; Metazoa; Chordata; Mammalia; Primates; Hominidae
Description: NFKB1 antisense RNA 1
Source: RNAcentral